GUUGAUUAUAAUUUUAGGUCUAACCUGCCCGCUGAGGAGUUAAAUGGCCGCGGUAUUUUGACCUGCGAAGGUAGCAUAAUAAUUAGUUUUUUAAUUGAAAGCUGGAAUGAAUGGUUGAAUGAGGGAGUAACUGUCUCUUUUUAAUUUGUUAGAAUUUUAUAUUUAGGUAAAAAAGCCUAAAUAAUGUUAAAAGACGAGAAGACCCUAUAGAGUUUUAUAUAAAGUUUCUUUUUUUUUGUUUUAGAAUAUUUUUAGGUUGAAUGUUUCUUUAUAUUUGGUUGGGGCGAUUGAAAAAUUAAAUUAACUUUUUUGUUAUUUUUACACUAAUCAGUGAGUAAUUGAUCCAUGAGAG
Molecule: ribosomal RNA, 352 nt
Filed under: Enaphalodes rufulus (red oak borer)
Lineage: Eukaryota; Metazoa; Arthropoda; Insecta; Coleoptera; Cerambycidae
Description: partial 16S ribosomal RNA
Source: RNAcentral